Long non-coding RNA from Haplochromis burtoni (Burton's mouthbrooder), 886 nucleotides. RefSeq lists it as uncharacterized. The record is from RefSeq and is a predicted model, not a curated record. NCBI's taxonomy places the organism in Eukaryota, Metazoa, Chordata, Actinopteri, Cichliformes, Cichlidae. The transcript is spliced from 3 exons.
CAUUUUACUUCUGUGAUUUGUCUGCUUCAGAGCUUCUCGGAUCUGUCUGAUUUCUCUUUGUUUCAGUUCAACCAGCUCGAUUCUGUCUUCCAGGUUUUGGAUGCAGGCUUUCAGUCUAAUUCGUUCAUUUAACACUUCGGCUGUUUUCACCAGUUUUUGAGGAUUAGAUUUUCCCAACAAGUCUGUCAAAUGAUCCAUGUUUGUCUGUUCGGUGUCUUAGGUUAGUGUCAUGGUCCGGGUGUGUGCCAGUGUGUCUCCCUCCGAGGCGGCGUCUCCACCCCUGGGAGGGGCCUCAGUGUUUUUGCUGAUCGCUUACAUCUGUGGGUAAUUAGCCGGGGACUCAUAAGGCCAGCGUACUCAAUCUCUCUUCGCCAGAUUCUCUGCUAAACAUCACUACACCUAACUGUCAACCCCUGGCGAAGAGCUUCUACUUGGAUGCUGGACCUUCUGGCAGUCCCUCAGGCUAUUACCAAAAUUUCCUACCUGCCUCUCUGCCUCCACACCAGGAGUUUUUUGGAUUUACACACCCGGACUACUCACCCCUCUAUGUCAUCUCCGACCUCCGUUGGCAAGUACGCAGUACGAAGGAGGAUUCUGAGCCAAACAACAUAUUCAUAAGCCUCCUUAUCUAUGUUUGAACCUCUGCAUUCUGUUACAGUGACCCCGACCUUUUCCUGGACCUUUUGUGACUUGCUUUCCAGUCCAAUCCCCGGAAUAGCUGUCCUCUCUGACCCGGACCAGAUCAUUAUUUAGUUUAACGUCUACGCUCACCUUUUGUUUAUGAAUAUUUUGUGUAAACAUUAAACAUUAUUCUUAAAAUAUACUUACGAGCUGUUCGGCGUCUUGCGUUUGAGUCCUGUCACUCGUCUGAAAACGGUCUCGGCCG